AGAGUUUGAUCCUGGCUCAGAAUGAACGCUGGCGGCGUGCCUAACACAUGCAAGUCGUACGAGAAAUCUCGGGCUUGCUCGAGUGAGUAAAGUGGCGCACGGGUGAGUAACACGUAGGUAAUCUACCUCCGGGUCAGGGAUAACCCGCCGAAAGGCGGGCUAAUACCUGGUAAUACCCUGUCUGCGGGAGCAGGCGGGAUCAAAGGUGGCCUCUGCAUGCAAGCUACUGCUUGGAGAUGAGCCUGCGGACCAUUAGCUAGUUGGUAGGGUAAUGGCCUACCAAGGCGACGAUGGUUAGCUGGUCUGAGAGGACGGCCAGCCACACUGGAACUGGAACACGGUCCAGACUCCUACGGGAGGCAGCAGUAGGGAAUAUUGGACAAUGGGGGCAACCCUGAUCCAGCAAUGCCGCGUGAGUGAUGAAGGCCUUAGGGUUGUAAAGCUCUUUUACCCGGGAUGAUAAUGACAGUACCGGGAGAAUAAGCUCCGGCUAACUCCGUGCCAGCAGCCGCGGUAAUACGGAGGGAGCUAGCGUUGUUCGGAAUUACUGGGCGUAAAGGGCGCGUAGGCGGUCAGGUAAGUCAGGUGUGAAAGCCCUCGGCUCAACCGAGGAAGUGCAUCUGAAACUAUCUGACUUGAGUACGGGAGAGGAAAGUGGAAUUCCCGGUGUAGAGGUGAAAUUCGUAGAUAUCGGGAGGAACACCCAUGGCGAAGGCGGCUUUCUGGACCGAUACUGACGCUGAGGCGCGAAAGCGUGGGGAGCAAACAGGAUUAGAUACCCUGGUAGUCC
Molecule: ribosomal RNA, 790 nt
Filed under: uncultured bacterium
Lineage: Bacteria
Description: bacterial SSU rRNA
Rfam family: Bacterial small subunit ribosomal RNA
Source: RNAcentral